RNAcentral lists this ribosomal RNA (253 nucleotides) under uncultured bacterium. RNAcentral describes it as "partial 16S ribosomal RNA". It matches the Rfam family "Bacterial small subunit ribosomal RNA", at positions 524 to 776 of the family's 1533-position model. The record is from RNAcentral.
UACAGAGGGGGCAAGCGUUGUUCGGAAUUACUGGGCGUAAAGGGCGCGUAGGUGGCCUUCUAAGUUGAACGUGAAAUCCCUGGGCUCAACCCAGGAACUGCGUCCAAGACUGGGAGGCUUGAAUCCGGGAGAGGGUGGCGGAAUUCCCCAAGUAGAGGUGAAAUUCGUAGAUAUGGGGAGGAACACCGGUGGCGAAGGCGGGUCUCUGGACAGUUCCUGACACUGAGGCACGAAGGCCAGGGGAGCAAACGGG